AUUCCUGCCAUCAGACCUCCUGAUCCUAUCGAUAGUUUCCUAUCACACUGCCACCACCAUCAUUUUUGACCUACAUUUGUACAUUUAUUUCGUUGUAAGUAAUCACGUGUUGAUAAUUUAGAAGAGGAUCUGCGCAGGAGCAAACGCGUAGUUGAGUGGUGCGGAGUUGGCCAAACGCGAGGAUUAGGCCAAUGUAGCAGCCAAAGGAGUAGCAGCGUACUUGGCCACCAGUAGAGCAGCAACGGGAGCAAUCUCAGAAGCAGCAUCGAUGCCAUUGUUGUUCCUGGCGAUAAUCUGGCUACUGGUGGCGGUCUCAGCGCAGGCGACUGGGGGUCCUUUCUAAAAAACCUGACUGCAGAAGGUGGAAUAACUCUUGGUGGCCACUGAAUUCGACUGCCUGAGGUCACAGACGCAGUCCCGAUGCGGCGUAUAAAGAGUGGUAUGGAAUGUGUUGUGCCGUGACAAGAUCAAGUUUCCGAACCGAAAGCACCAUAUCCAUAAUCAAAAUGUUAAAUGUUAAAAUCCGCCGUCCUUGCCUUGGCUUGCUUUUGGCCUACACUGUUGACGUGGCUUACUCUCCUCCUCUGACUCACUCUGAUCCCGCUGUC
Molecule: long non-coding RNA, 608 nt
Organism: Drosophila sechellia
Lineage: Eukaryota; Metazoa; Arthropoda; Insecta; Diptera; Drosophilidae
Exons: 3
Source: RefSeq, a predicted model, not a curated record